UUCUGCCACCGAAUACAUUAGCAUGGGAUAAUGGAAUAGGACCCUGUCCUCCUAUUUUCAGUUGGUUUUGGCAGCGCGAGGACUAGGGUAAUGAUUAAUAGGGAUAGUUGGGGGCAUUAAUAUUUAAUUGUCAGAGGUGAAAUUCUUGGAUUUAUGAAAGAUUAACUUCUGCGAAAGCAUCUGCCAAGGAUGUUUUCAUUAAUCAAGAACGAAAGUUAGGGGAUCGAAGACGAUCAGAUACCGUCGUAGUCUUAACCAUAAACGAUGCCGACCAGCGAUUAGGAGACGUUGAAUACAAAACACCACCAUCGGCGCGGUCGUCCUUGGCGUCUCGGUCCUUCACGGGGCCGGGGCGCGGGGGCGGCUUAGCCCGGUGGCACCGGWGAAUGACUCCCCUAGSAGCUWGUGAGA
This 411-nucleotide ribosomal RNA is filed under the name Acanthamoeba genotype T4. RNAcentral's name for it is "SSU rRNA". It matches the Rfam family "Eukaryotic small subunit ribosomal RNA", at positions 798 to 1106 of the family's 1831-position model. The record is from RNAcentral. Lineage: Eukaryota; Discosea; Longamoebia; Acanthamoebidae.